GACUUGGUUACCAUACAUCCAGGGGUUGUGAUUGGCCCUCUCUUGCAGCCCACUCUUAGUACUAGUAUGGAGGUGUUUGCACAAUACGCCAAAGGUAUUCACUAUUCCUUGUAAAAUUCAAGCAUAAUGUUUGUUUUCUAGACUUGGUUUAUUGUGGAUCCAAUGAAAAACAUAAAAAUGUGAAUCCCAUCUAUUCUAUAUGUGGGUCUCACCUCAUAUAGUGUGUCUUGGAUUCAUGAUAGAUUAAAUCUUGACAUGAAUUUCCCUGUAACUAUAUUCUGUAUAUGAUUUCUUCUGAUGGGUAAGCUGGGAUUUUCAAUGUGCAGGAGCUCAAACAUAUUUGUAUG
This 347-nucleotide unclassified non-coding RNA is filed under the name Hevea brasiliensis (rubber tree). Lineage: Eukaryota; Viridiplantae; Streptophyta; Magnoliopsida; Malpighiales; Euphorbiaceae. The record is from RNAcentral.